Molecule: non-coding RNA, 193 nt
Organism: Oryza glumipatula
Lineage: Eukaryota; Viridiplantae; Streptophyta; Magnoliopsida; Poales; Poaceae
Source: Rfam
UUUAAGUGCAACCAUACGUUUUCGCGCUCAACUUUAAUCGUUUGUCUCAUUUGAACAUUUUUUAUAAUCAGUAUUUUUGUUGUUUUGAGAUGAUAAAAAUGAAUAGUACUUUACUCGUGACUUAUGUUUUUAAAUUUUUUUUAAAAAAUUUUCAAAUAAGACGAACGAUUAAAAUGGGAUGGAGGGAGUAAUA